GGAUCCAGACUUUGAUUCUGGCUCAGGAUGAACGCUAGCUACAGGCCUAACACAUGCAAGUCGAGGGGAAACGGCAGCUUAGCUUGCUAAGCUGGACGUCGACCGGCGCACGGGUGAGUAACGCGUAUCCAACCUGCCCCACGGUGAGGGAUAACCCGCGGAAACGCGGCCUAAUACCUCAUGGUCUCCGAGUUUGCCAUCAACCUUGGAGUAAAGAUUCAUUGCCGUGGGAUGGGGAUGCGUCUGAUUAGCUUGUUGGCGGGGCAACGGCCCACCAAGGCAACGAUCAGUAGGGGUUCUGAGAGGAAAGCCCCCCACAUUGGAACUGAGACACGGUCCAAACUCCUACGGGAGGCAGCAGUGAGGAAUAUUGGUCAAUGGGCGAGAGCCUGAACCAGCCAAGUAGCGUGCAGGAUGACGGCCCUAUGGGUUGUAAACUGCUUUUAUGCGGGGAUAAAGCGGGCGACGUGUCGCCCUUUGCAGGUACCGCAUGAAUAAGGACCGGCUAAUUCCGUGCCAGCAGCCGCGGUAAUACGGAAGGUCCGGGCGUUAUCCGGAUUUAUUGGGUUUAAAGGGAGCGCAGGCCGGGUAUUAAGCGUGUUGUGAAAUGUAGGCGCCCAACGUCUGCACCGUAGCGCGAACUGGUGCCCUUGAGUACGCACGACGUUGGCGGAAUUCGCCGUGUAGCGGUGAAAUGCUUAGAUAUGGCGAAGAACUCCGAUUGCGAAGGCAGCUGACGGGAGCGCUACUGACGCUCAUGCUCGAAAGCGCGGGUAUCGAACAGGAUUAGAUACCCUGGUAGUCCGCGCGGUAAACGAUGGGUGCCCGCUAUUUGCGCAUUAGCGCAAGUGGCCAAGUGAAAACGUUAAGCAUCCCACCUGGGGAGUACGCCGGCAACGGUGCAACUCAAAGGAAUUGACGG
This 922-nucleotide ribosomal RNA is filed under the name uncultured Bacteroidota bacterium. Its description in RNAcentral is "bacterial SSU rRNA". It matches the Rfam family "Bacterial small subunit ribosomal RNA", at positions 1 to 916 of the family's 1533-position model. Lineage: Bacteria; Pseudomonadati; Bacteroidota. The record is from RNAcentral.